Molecule: long non-coding RNA, 1973 nt
Filed under: Equus asinus (donkey)
Lineage: Eukaryota; Metazoa; Chordata; Mammalia; Perissodactyla; Equidae
Description: lncRNA (ENSEASG00005035018.1)
Source: RNAcentral
UCCUUUAAGAGGUGAUUGGGUCAUGGGGGCAGAACGCUCACGAAGGGGAUUAGUGCCCUUAUAAAAGAGGACUGAGGCCUCUCACUUGGCGCUUCUACCAUGGGAGGAUACAAGGAGGAAUCUGCGACUCAGACGAAGCCUUCACCUGAGCAUCCUGACACCCUGAUCUCAGAACUGUGAGAAGAGACAACCUUCUGGAGAAUGUGACACCAGAAGAAAUAUUGUCAUCUUGGACUGAAGGAGACAGAGAGAUGGUAAUGUGGCGAUGGAAGCAAAGAACCUGAUGUGAUCACAGAAGCGGAGGUCACAGUGAUGAGGGACCAUGAGACAAUGUAUGCAGUCUCUAGAAUCUGAAAAAGGCAAGAAACUAUGAAUUUCCCUGUGAGGACUUCUUACGCUACAUCUCAUUACAUUUUGGAUACGGUCAAGGCUGGAGAAUGUUCGGUGUGCACUUGAGAGGAAUGUGCAUCUGUUGUCCACUUGGAGUGCUCUAGAGGUCCUUCCAGUUCUUCCACAUGGGAUGCUGCCUCAGCAUGACUCGAUGAGCAGUGCUAGGUCCACGCCCAGGAUCCAAACUUAUUGGCCCUGAGCUAACAUCUAUGCCAACCUGCCUCCAUUUUGUAUGUGGGACACCACCACAGCAUGCCUUGAUGAGCAGUGUGUAGGUCCUCACCCAGAAUCCAAACCCAUAGACCACAGGCCUCCUGAGCAGGUUAUGUGAACUUAACCACUGUGCCACCAGGCAGGCCCUGUAGUCAUUUCUUUAGUUCAAUAGAGCUUUGCACCCAUCUACCUCUUUUGCAUUGUUCUUGGCAAAUAUAUGACAAAUAAAUUAUAAUUCUAUGUGUUAGAGGCCAACAAUAUAUUAUAUACAUAUUAUUUUAUGCAAUUGCUUUUUACACCAGUUAAGUAGAGAUGGAGUUUGCAUUUAUACUCUGUUUUAUAAUUACAUAAUUACUGGUGCUCUUCGUAUUUUUGUGUGGAUUGAAACCAAUGUCUGGAGUCACUUGCUUUUGGCCUGAAGAUUUUUUGAUAUUGCUUAUAAGUUGGGUAUACUAGCAACAAAUCCUCUCGAUUUUUGUCUAUCUGGAAAUAUUUUAAUUUUGCCUUCAUUUUUGAAAGACAGCUUUGCUCAUUGACAGUUUUUUCUUUGAUCAUUUUGAAUAGGUGUUCCUACUGUCUUUGGCCUCCAUUGUUUCUACUGAGUCAACUGUUAUUUUUAUUGAAUUUCCCUUGCGAGUGAUAAGUCAUUUAUCUCUAUCUGCUUUCAGGAGUUUCUCUUUAUCUUUGACUUUUAAUGUGUUUACUAUGAAAUGUCUGUAGAUCUUUUUGAAUUCAUCCUACUUGGAGUUAACUAAGCUUUUUGGAUAUGUAGAUUAUUGUUUUUCAACAAAUAUUGGAAAGUUUUCACCCAUAUUCCUUUAUUUUUUCCUGCUCCUUUCUCUCUCUCCUCUAGUACUGUCAUUGUGUACUAUAUUGGUGCAUUUAAUAGUGUCCCACAUUUGUCUGAAGCUCUGUUCAGUUUUCUUCCUUUCUCUCUGUGAUUUGGAUUGCAUACUAUCUAUCGAUCUAUCUUCAGGUUCAUUAAAUCAUUCUUCUAUUGGUUCAAAUAUACUUUUUAGCCCUUCUAGUGAAUGUUUUCUUUUAGUUAUUGCACUUUUCAACUCCAGAAUUUCCAUGGGGUUUUCACUUAUAACUUCUAUCUCAUUAUUAAUAUUCUCUAUGUCCUGUGUCAUGUGACAUUGACAUCGUACCUUCUUUGCUUAAUUAAUCAUGCUUUCUUUUAGUUCUUUAAACAUAUUUAUAAUGGCUACUUGGAAGUAUUUGUUAAAUCUGACAUUGUGGUCACUCUCACAAGAAGUUUCUGUUGCUUGCUUUUUUACCCAGUGCAUGUGUCAUACUUUCUUUUUUGUUUGCAUGCCUGUAAUUUUUUUGUUGAAAAUUGGAUGUUUUAGUUUAUAUAUUAUAGCAAU